GAAUUUUUGAUUAGCGCCUGUGGUAACACGGGCCAUUAUGGAAG
This is a regulatory RNA element of 44 nucleotides. It matches the Rfam family "nuoG RNA". The record is from Rfam.